Molecule: long non-coding RNA, 1222 nt
Filed under: Lathyrus oleraceus (garden pea)
Lineage: Eukaryota; Viridiplantae; Streptophyta; Magnoliopsida; Fabales; Fabaceae
Description: Pisum sativum (pea) long non-coding RNA (PSAT_LNC032733)
Source: RNAcentral
AAUGCUAACAUAAUGGAUCAAAACAUAAAUUGAAGAAAAUAUCAAAAAGUUUCAUUAUCAAUUACAGAUACAUUUGAGAACCAAAAUUACAUAGCAAAUUCGUCUACAUACAUCAAAACCCGGAAACCCUAAAAACACUCAUUGAUUUACAACAACAAUCAAAUAAAACAUUAUUUUUAACCUAAUUUCUAAGCUAUAGAAACCUAAGAAUAAUCAGAAGAAGGGGACGAAAGAAAAAAAUUGAACCCUUAGUUGCUGCAAUCCCAACCUCCACUAAAGCUCUUAAAAUUCUGAUACUUAGGGUUUUCACAUUGAAACCCUAAGCAUUUGAGCUAAGCCUGCAUUGGAUCUCGCAGGAAAAAGAAAAGAAAGAAGUCAUAGAAGGAGAAAGAAAUGGAUAAGCAUAGAAAGAAACGGAUAAGCAGAGAAGGAAACAAAAGAAGUUAAAUUGAAAAUUUACCUUACCAGAAAGAUCCUCGUCUCUGUAGGUUAGUGGAUGUCGACCUUUACUUUUGUUAUUGUUUCUUAUAUGUGAUUGGAAUUUAUAUUGAUGUAUGUUGUUGAUUUAUGUUGUUUUAAAUGCGGUUAAGGUUCAGUUUAUGUCUAACAAAAUUUAGGGUUUUGAGGUUUUGGGAAUUUUGGUUUGAUUUUUUUGUUUUGAUGUUUGAUUGUGGAUUGGGAGGUUACGAUCUAUGAUUUACUGUUGUUUUUAUUGUGUUUAGGCUUGAUUUGGUGAAUUUCUGAAAAAAUAGAGUUAGGGUUCAGAGGUUAGGGAUGAAGAUUCAUCAUGUUCAUGAUGAAUAUUAUGAAGAUUUGAAGGGAUAUGGGUUUGGGUUUUAAAGGCUGGAAGUUAGGGUUCUUCAGUUAGGGUUAAGGUUCUUACAGGUAUGGGUUUUGGGAUGAAUGUUAGGGUUAUGGUUAAUCUAAUUUGGGGUUAGGGUUCUUAAAUAUAGAUAGGGUUCUAAAGGGUUCUGGGUAGGUUGAUGAAGGUUUGUAGGUUUCAGUUGAAGUUCAAUCGAAAACAUAGGUUUGAGGGUGGCCAGAAGGGGGGCGGGUUAAGAACAAGGGUGGAGAAUUAGAGAGAUAGAUAUGAGAGAUGAAAUGGUUAGAGAGAGAAAACAAAAUGGAAAUGAAACCAUUUCUGAAGGGAGUUAGCGUAUAAACUCCUUUUCUUUGUUGCUUGAUGAGAGCCACGUCGGGCUCUCUGAACCUAUGAACUUGC